Molecule: long non-coding RNA, 1255 nt
Filed under: Homo sapiens (human)
Lineage: Eukaryota; Metazoa; Chordata; Mammalia; Primates; Hominidae
Description: HSALNT0290083
Source: RNAcentral
UUGAUGCAGAUGAAUUUCAGGAAGAACUGGGAGAGUAGAAACAAAAUUGUCAGCACUUCUCCAUGGAAACCCCAUGGAGGUUUCAGGGCUGAGGACAGCGCUGGGGAAGUCCUGGGGCCCCCAGAAGCCAGAGGUGGGGUAACAAGAGGAUGGGUGGAUGACUUACGCAGGGAGCAGCCCUCUGAAACCGCCGGAAUCGAGGCCUCCUUUGCACCUUGAUUCCACCCAGAGUCUGCGCCUACGCUUUGGGCAGGGGAGGCAGAACCCACGUUGGUCUAAGAGCAGGGAGAAGUGGGCAUGAUCCUACCAUGCUGCAGGGCCUCGGGAUGGGGAUGGGAUUUGCUGCUCUUUGUGCCCAAUUAAUGAGCGAGACGAACAAGCACACUGAGUAGCUUCCUGCCAGCCGUCCCCUUUGGCAGCAAACUCAUCCCCACCUCUGGGCCUUGGCUCGAGUUGUUAGCCAACUCAACCUUGAAGCCGUCCCUUCCUAUCAGCCCAUGCAAAUUCUGCCAUCAGCCAAGGACCGCCUCUUCCUCUUCCGGGAAGCUGACUUCAAGCCAUGCCCUUCCCUUUUGCAAGCUCCCGUGGCUCGCGACCCGCAGCCCACCCCUGCACCAGUGGACACUGCGGGAUGGCCUGGCCUCGGCUCUGCAUUUUCACUUCUCUUAGCUCUCAUCUCCUCCACCACAGAGACAGCUCUGUCUGAGUAUCUUUCUGAUACUGUUCUUUAUCCCCCAGGACUGGCCCAGCCCAGGGCGGUGCGUACAGCAGACACUUAAUGUAACACAGUAGCAGCUUUUAAUUUCUCAGGCCAAUGAGAUACAGACAGUCACUGGUAUGGUAGUUUUUCAGUCAAGCAUCAAGGGAAGAACUUAUUAGUUUGAAUUACAAACAACAGAAGUAGAAAACUCCACAAGGAAAAAUCUCAGCUGGUGAAGAAGCUCAGGAGCUCACAGAAGGUGAGCACUUGGGGUGUGAUGAAGUAAUCAAACCAUCGCCAUCGGCUAAGGAAACCGAGGGGUGCAGAGCUGAUGUCGCUUGGCCCGCAAGCCACGGAGAGUGGGAGCAAGAGGAGGUUUGGUCAGGCUGCCUCUGCCCCUGUCUUUCUCGGCCCACAGGCUCCAAGCAGGCAGGACCAGACCGCAGCUUCCAGGUGCUGGGAUCCGGGGACCACACCUUCACCUGCUGCUCUCUUGAAGGAAAAACAAAUAUCUGCCUCUGGCAGGUAAAAAAAAAAUAAAAGGAGUGCGUCUCA